Microplitis demolitor is the source of this 4920-nucleotide RNA transcript. It is a transcript of the gene named myb-like protein AA, with no coding region annotated. The transcript has 7 exons. The record is from RefSeq and is a predicted model, not a curated record. NCBI's taxonomy places the organism in Eukaryota, Metazoa, Arthropoda, Insecta, Hymenoptera, Braconidae.
CUGCUACUGCUGCUGCUGGUGCCUCCAGAGUUCAGACUUCCAAAGUUCCAGACUUCCAGUUCCAGUGCUGGUACAGUGCUUUAGUCUGUUUCAGUUUUCAGUCUUCGGCCUUCAGUCUUUCAGUCGAUUAGUGUAGUAAGAUGGAUGCUAUAAAACUAUGAGAUCUGUAUGACUUGUAAUUCUUUAUAUUAAUAAAUUAAAAAAUCUAAAUCCAGCAAUAACAAUCAUCGACAACAAUCAAUAAAUCACCAUAAACAAUUGUUUUAUUAAAACAAAGUGUAUUAUAUGAGUUUUUAGUGAUUAAAAUAAUGUGGAUAAGUUAUGAGAAUAACAUCUGCCAGUGAGUUUUUAAAUCACGGCUACAAUGGUGGAUAACAAUUGUAUUAUUGAAGGAAAUGUCAAAUUUCGCGAUGGAAAAAAAUGGAAAUCACGAUGGUGCGUUAUGCGGAAAUUGUCUCCAGUGGCAGAUUGUUUACACCUGCAACUUUAUGGAGACAGCAAAGACAGAUACAAACAAGGACAAACAAAAGCAUCCUUGAGUUUACAACAUUUUUUAGGAAUAGAAAGUGGAUUUACACUUGAUAAAGAGUCUAAUACAAUAGCAAUUAUUUGUCAAGAUUUGAUAGUUGUGCUUGCUUUUGAUACCAGAGAGCGUUUGAUACAAUGGCAGGUCAAAAUUUCAAAUAAUUUGGGCGAAGAUCAACAAUUUUUGAUAAUAAUAUCAUCAGCACCCUCAAAAGCCAAAGUAUCUAACGGACCAGCCCACUUACACAUUCAAGACCGUCGGUUCUGUUUGACAGUCGGUGUGCCGCCACGGCUGGUUGGCGUUUGGGAACUGGCGCAUCUACGUCGUUACGGUGUCGUCGAGGGACGUUUCUGUUUCGAGGGUGGCUCACGGUGCGGCCGUGGUGAAGGUCUGCACGUGCUAAUAACAGAUCAGGGUGAGGAUAUAGUACGUACACUACAACUGGCAGCCGAGGGUAAAUUGGCAACACGUAAACGCCCUCUGAAUUCACAAUUAUCGUUGCAAGACAGUCCAACGCGACGUCAAUUCAUCCGUUCAGACACACGUGCCAGUGAUUUUUUUCCCUCAAAUAUUUCUUACACAUCAUCUGUGACGUACAAAGAUCAUGAGGGCACAAAAACUGAAACAACAUCACCCUGCUGGUCUUCUACUGAAAGUAGACAUGUUGAAUUAGACGCCGUUGAUUAUAGUACUAACAGCUGCCGUGAUGCCGUUGGAUCAACUCAGGAACUAGCGGAUCACCAUCAUCACAAUCAAAAUAAUCAUUAUCAUCAUCAUCAUCAUCAUCAUCAUCAGCAUCAGCAGCAGCAACAAAAUCAACAACAGAGUAAUCAAAUAACAGAGUGGAGAAAUGGUUCUCUACCACGACAAAAUUCAUCUGGUUUAGAGAGAUGCGCCAGCUGCAUAAGUAAAUUAGGCGCAAUAUCGAAAAGUUCUGUUGUAACAUUAACUAAUACUACAAAUAAUACGACCUCUACUAUCACAAAUACAACCAGCAGUAGUACCAUAUUAAACCAUACAAACACAAGUUCUAGUCCUGCUGCUUCUGGCGGUAAUAAUAAUCUUAAUCUAAAUAAUAAUACCACGUGCCAUUCACAACAGCCACGCGCCUUCGACAGAUUAUCCUUAUCAUCUUACAGCAGCUCGAGCCAUGACAGUGAUUAUUCUGGUUCACAGAAUGCCGACUCGGUCUGUUUAUCAUCUUCAAAAAAUUCUCCUUGUUUACCAUCAAAAGACUCGAGUUGUUUGCAAGUUAAAAAUUCACCUGAUCAGCUUGAUCAACUUGAUCAACUUGAUCAACUUGAUCAACUUAAUCAACUUAAUCAACUUGAUCAACCUCAACAAAUUCAAGAAAAACAAAUUACUCAAUCACAACAAGAGUCUCAUAAAAUAUGUUCAUCACCAAGCCCGACGGGUCUGCCACCGCGACCAUUAAAACCACCCGCAAAAAGUAAAAAACCUCCUAUGCCACUACCAAAUGAACGGUGUACAUGUAAACAAAAAUCUGGUAUGUCAACACGUACUAAAUCAAGUCCUUACGACAACUACGACAUUCCAAAGACUAUUUUAGCUCACCAUAUGUCGUUAGAACCAGCGACAAAUCAAGGAGAUCAGUACUACGAUACACCACGUAAAAUAAAAGAAUGUCUGGCAUUACCAAAAAAUUAUCCAAAUUAUGAUACACCUCAUUCAGCACCACAAGCAGUUAUGUUACAACACUGCGGAUGUCCUGCUAAAUUGCAAACAUCUACAUCGUCAACAUCUACAUCAUCAUCGUUAUCAUCAUCAAGAAUUGGUUGUCCAUGUCACAAUGUAAUGAGCUGGGCCGGAUUUGUAUUACCUUAUUGUCGACGUGGAGCUGGUAUUGAACCAACUGGAGUUUCUGUGCAUCCAAUUAAAUUGUCGGGUGAAGGUAAAAUGCCAGUUGUCAAUGCCAAUGGUGAAUUGGCUAUUUAUCCAAGUGGUUUAAAAAAUAAUAAAUCUGAUGAUUUUUCAAUUAUUUCUAGUAUUAGUACUAGUACUAGUAUUAAUAAUAUACUGACAUCAUCAGAGAAAGCUAAUAAUUAUGAAAAUAUUGAACCAAUUGUUAUUGAUACACAGCCAGAAUCAAAACGUAAUUACGUAAAUAUCGAUUUUACCGAGUCGCUUGAGUAUUACGAAAAUAGCCGGGAUUUGAUUGCUAGAACAGGAAUUUCACAAGAGGAAAUUGCUAAAAUAGCUGAGGGUUUUAAAGACACAAGUAAUAAUGAAGAUGAAAUAAUUAAUGACUCUAUUAAUAAUGAUAAAUCAGGUGAUAAUAAUAAAUUGGAACAGGAGCAAGUUAUAGAGGAUAAAGUAUGUAAUAAAUGUGGGCAUGUAAAAGAUAAUAAUAAUAGUAUGAAUUAUUUAAUAAUGAAUCCAGAUAAUAAUAAUAAACAAUUUAAAAAAUCAUUUCCUGGUUAUUUACCAAUGCAACCGUCUGCACAUAAUGCUUGUUCUAAAGAAGUUAUCUCCCGUAUUUGUGGAACUAAAAGCUCUAGUAAUCCAGCAUUAUUUGCUUCAUCCUCAUCUUCAUUAUCCUCGUCAUUUAUUGAAGUUGGAAGAAAACGAUCUGAUUCAGAAUUACGUAUUCCUGGAUCAGCAAUGUUAUCAAGUCCAUACUUACGUCGACGUUUAAUCGAUCCAUUACAAUUACCGUAUAAUCAACAACAACAUCAACAACAACAACAUCAACAACAACAACAUCAACAACAACAUCAACACGGUGAAACAAGUAGUUUAGAGAUGUUGUGGAGAAAGCGAUCUUAUUCUGCUGAGUCAUCUCACUAUUUAGAAGAUUCUAGUCCAAGUCUUGGAUUUUCAUCGUCAACAAUACACAAGUGUCCAAGCGAAAGUAGUGAAAAAUCACUUAUAAUAAAUAAUAAUCUUACAAAAGAUCAGACAAUGACGAUAGCUUGUUCAGAUUUAAAAGUUAAUCGUGACUGCGAUGAAUCUGUCAACGGACAAGCAUUUUCAUCUAUUAAAAUACGUCGAUCUUCAUCAGUGCCAUCUAAAACUGGACAUAAUCGUGAUUCAUCAAGUAGCAAUGAUUCGGGAGUAUCAACUGGUUCGUUGAGUCAUCGAAAUACUGAAUUUGUUGAAUUUGAAUUAACUUGUACUCCAGUUAGUUUGUCCUCGAGAAAACAAAAUAUCCUUUCAGUUUGCCGUAAAAGCCCACCGCCAAUUUGUUAUCACGGAAGUUUGCCAAGAAAAUCAAAGUCUAGUGAUCCAUUGAGAGAAUUGUCAUUUCAAUUUCAAAAAAUUAAAAUACCAACAAAAUCAUCUUCCGCGGAAGGUGAUAUACCAGCUUGUGGACCCAAAGGAAGUAACAAAGGAUACAGUAGUCCUGGUGAAAAUUCAAGUACUCCUUAUAUUGAUUCAAGAAGUACAAGUAGUGGGACUUCAGAUAUGUCUGAUUACAUUGAAACCCUAUCGCUCUCUUCACACUCGUCUUCUGAUACUCCUGAUAGUUUGAGACUUGGUGGAAGAGCUGUGACAACAACACUGCGUCCGCGGAGCGGCAAAGAGUAUUAUAAAAUAGACAGAAGCAUUUUAGCGGAACAAGGUCGUAAUUCAGUAACAUCGGGAUCCAGUUAUGCAAACAUAACACCAGUUUUAGAGAAAAGCGAAUCACCCUCCCCGGGUUACAUCAGUAGUUCGCCAUUUGAACAACCGGCACCCUCACGGGAACAUUUUAUUUUCUCCGAGGAAGCUUGAAGCAUUAUUUAUUGAAAUUGAAAAGUAAGCUACGGCGUUUACGACUAUUUAUACUAUACGCGGAUAUUCUGGUGAUUACUGACAUUUAUUGAAACAUCUAUUGUUAAAUUUUCUAACAAAUAAGCCGAGGGUUCACGUACUUGAAAAAUUUUUAGUCCAUAAAAAAGAAAAAAAAAAGGAAUAGCCGAUUAGUGACAUUUAAAUUAAAAAUUCACUGAAAUGAAAAUGAAUUUUCGUGAUUUAAAACAAACGAUAGUAGCAAAUUGCUAACUGAAACAUACAUUAUCAAUUAAAAGGCUUGAUAUUAAAAAUAAAAAAACCAAUUUAUUAAUGCAUAAAAUGCGUUGAUAAAUUAAAAAAAAAGUCAGCGUUCUCGCAUCAUAAUAAAAGCUAUAAGAGCUUCGAUCUAUAAUCCCCAAUCACGUAAUAGCAAGGAACAAAUUUAUAUAAAUAUUUAAAUCGAUACUUAAUCUUACUCCUUAUCUUAGCUAUUUAAAUAAAUAAAUAAAUCAAUCAAUUUCAAGCAACGAAAACUUGAUACCGCAAUGUACCGUGGCAUUAAUUCAUUCCUAUAGAAAUAUCUAUAUUGUUUUUUAAGCUAUUGCUUGCUCUGUUUUUUAUUUUUCUUUUUCUAUAUUAUUAAUUCUACAUGUGUUUUA